Long non-coding RNA from Tupaia belangeri chinensis (Chinese tree shrew), 697 nucleotides. RefSeq lists it as uncharacterized. The transcript has 5 exons. The record is from RefSeq and is a predicted model, not a curated record. Lineage: Eukaryota; Metazoa; Chordata; Mammalia; Scandentia; Tupaiidae.
CUUAUUUUAUUACAAAUCAGAAGAAAUACAAUGGAGAAUUAAAUAGUUCUCAGGCCAGCCAGGAGCAUGGUAAACAACACCAGCCACAGAGCUAACUUAUGGAGAUCCUCAGGAGAUUGAAAACCAGAAGUAGGCACACGAGGAACAAAGCGAAGGCUGCCAGACUACUGCAGAGAGGGAGACUGAAAGGAGAGCUUGAAAAGUAAACAGACGCACAAACAAGAGAGAAACCGGACAUGCAAAUAUUAUCAGGAUCCAGGUCAAUCUAGAGGCUUCCAUCCGCUCCGCAAGCACACGUGUCCUAUAGCAAAACUGAAAAAAAAAAAGGGAAAAAUGAUGCUGAUUGGCCGACCAUGAGUUUGGAUCUCCUGAUCUGCUUGAAAACAUCCCAGUUACAAUUGAGGAGUUGGCGCUUAUGCUACAGUUCCUUUUGGAUGGAGUUGCUCAGAAAGUUCAUAAAGAAUUGAUGCCAGGGAAGAAUUUACUUUUCAGUGACCUUUUUAUCAAACAGCACAAUUUUUAGAACACAUCUUACUUCCCUUAUUGCUUUGCCUUCCAGGAAAAUUAGAGCUAAAUAUAGCGAUCAAUUAAUGUAAGCGAUCUAACUGCUGGUACCACUAGUUCUUUCUUUCUGAGUGAUGUGUGCUGCUCAUUUUUAGUUGUUAAAACUCUUUGCCGGGUGCAUAUGCGUGCAUGC